UCCCUGGAGAGCUAGUGGUUAGGCCAUGGCACUCUCACCUCCUUAGCCCGGGUUCGAUUCCCAGCCAGGGAA
RNAcentral lists this transfer RNA (72 nucleotides) under Pangasianodon gigas (Mekong giant catfish). RNAcentral's name for it is "tRNA-Glu". It matches the Rfam family "tRNA". From Rfam's summary of the family: Transfer RNA (tRNA) molecules are approximately 80 nucleotides in length. Their secondary structure includes four short double-helical elements and three loops (D, anti-codon, and T loops). Lineage: Eukaryota; Metazoa; Chordata; Actinopteri; Siluriformes; Pangasiidae. The record is from RNAcentral.